CGUGUUAUUAAAUACAGAACUCGAAAUACUAUUAUAUAAACUAUUAUAAAAAUAUUAAAAGAUACUAAGAAAUGUUUGGGUCGAAGUGAUACGUUAAAUAUAUAUAUUACAAAUGAAUUAAGUAGAUAUAAAAUUUUUACUAUUAUAGUUCCAGUCUUUAGCAGCAGCAUAUCCGAAUGUCCUUUUCAUUGAAUUUGUUUUAGGCUUCGACAACAACAGCAUCUUGUUAUUACUUCUUAAAUUAUAUUUAUCAGAAUUUGAGAUUUUAAACAUAGUUGAAACGUUUUCAGGACAUUGGUUUGAAAGG
Non-coding RNA from Paramuricea clavata, 307 nucleotides. NCBI's taxonomy places the organism in Eukaryota, Metazoa, Cnidaria, Anthozoa, Malacalcyonacea, Plexauridae. The record is from the annotation of a GenBank genome assembly.